RNAcentral lists this ribosomal RNA (497 nucleotides) under uncultured bacterium. RNAcentral describes it as "partial 16S ribosomal RNA". It matches the Rfam family "Bacterial small subunit ribosomal RNA", at positions 28 to 507 of the family's 1533-position model. The record is from RNAcentral.
GAUGAACGCUGGCGGCGUGCCUAAUACAUGCAAGUCGAGCGAACAGACGAGGAGCUUGCUCCUCUGACGUUAGCGGCGGACGGGUGAGUAACACGUGGAUAACCUACCUAUAAGACUGGGAUAACUUCGGGAAACCGGAGCUAAUACCGGAUAAUAUAUUGAACCGCAUGGUUCAAUAGUGAAAGACGGUUUUGCUGUCACUUAUAGAUGGAUCCGCGCCGCAUUAGCUAGUUGGUAAGGUAACGGCUUACCGAGGCAACGAUGCGUAGCCGACCUGAGAGGGUGAUCGGCCACACUGGAACUGAGACACGGUCCAGACUCCUACGGGAGGCAGCAGUAGGGAAUCUUCCGCAAUGGGCGAAAGCCUGCCGGAGCAACGCCGCGUGAGUGAUGAAGGUCUUCGGAUCGUAAAACUCUGUUAUUAGGGAAGAACAAAUGUGUAAGUAACUAUGCACGUCUUGACGGUACCUAAUCAGAAAGCCACGGCUAACUACGUG